RNAcentral lists this ribosomal RNA (194 nucleotides) under uncultured bacterium. Its description in RNAcentral is "partial 16S ribosomal RNA". It matches the Rfam family "Bacterial small subunit ribosomal RNA", at positions 1307 to 1500 of the family's 1533-position model. The record is from RNAcentral.
GCAACUCGAGUGCAUGAAGCUGGAAUCGCUAGUAAUCGCGGAUCAGAAUGCCGCGGUGAAUACGUUCCCGGGUCUUGUACACACCGCCCGUCACACCAUGGGAGUCGGGAAUGCCCGAAGCCGGUGGCCCGAUCGAGAGAAGGGAGCCGUCGAAGGCAGGCCGGAUGACUGGGGUGAAGUCGUAACAAGGUAGC